This is a non-coding RNA of Thalictrum thalictroides, 105 nucleotides long. The record is from the annotation of a GenBank genome assembly. Lineage: Eukaryota; Viridiplantae; Streptophyta; Magnoliopsida; Ranunculales; Ranunculaceae.
AUUUGAUGAUGUGGGCAUUGACUUCAUAAUUCUCCGAAUCUUUCCCAAGCUUCGUAGAAUUCUCAGUAUAUUACUGCCUAACGGUUUGGAUUUUAUUCUUAAACU